RNAcentral lists this long non-coding RNA (674 nucleotides) under Anas platyrhynchos platyrhynchos (common mallard). RNAcentral describes it as "lncRNA (ENSAPLG00000020155.1)". The record is from RNAcentral. Lineage: Eukaryota; Metazoa; Chordata; Aves; Anseriformes; Anatidae.
AAGGAGAUAAAUCUACCUAAAACCCUGGGAAGCAGGUGAAACAGCUCCUCUGUUUGAAGGGAUGGAAAGUGAUUUUUUCCUGAAUCUCUCAUCAGAAAGCAUGCGCUCCUGUUGAUUGCCAUUUCCUAGGCAGUGAAUGAGCAGCGAUGAACUGCCAGUUGCCAUGUCAGAGCCCCUCGCCACACCAGCCACCAAUUUCUGAGCCCUGAUAACCUUUAUGGGAUGUUCUGUGGAGGAGGAUCGCACUGCUGAUGUGAUGAUUCAGAACCUGUACCUACUGAGUGAUGCAUUUCAUUAGUGUCUAUCCAGCACAGGGGGUCAAUUUCCAUCAUUGGCUUGAAAUGGGGAAGCAGCAGGUCUCUGCUUGCCUUGUCUCCCCCAACUUAUUUUGUUCUACUAGAACUCCAGAAAUUCUGUCCUGGAGCAAAAAAAAACCUACUCAAUGAAAGUUUCAUCUGAACUAGUACACUCCUGUGAAAAGUUAUAAUUUCAAUAUAUUGGCAUUUUUGGCAGAGUUGACUAGUGCUACCCAUGAUUACAUCUAUACCAGUAUAAGUACCGAGUGCAGUAAGUAGCUGAGUAAUCACAUAGUUGUUAGCUAAGGCUUUAUUUUAUUAUAUUUUGAUGUAUUACUUCUUAAUAAAUUGGAACUUAUAUGUGAUGUAUUGCUUAAU